Coturnix japonica (Japanese quail) is the source of this 702-nucleotide long non-coding RNA. RefSeq lists it as uncharacterized. The record is from RefSeq and is a predicted model, not a curated record. Lineage: Eukaryota; Metazoa; Chordata; Aves; Galliformes; Phasianidae.
CACAGAAUCAUAGAACAUUUUGAAUUCUGAAAGGUUGCUCUCUGAUCUCCCAAAGCCUCCUCCAAUUUGAAUAGACCUAGCUCUUUCAGCCUGUUCUUGUAGGAGAUGUGUUUAAUCCCUUGGAUCUCUUGUGUCCCUCCUCUGUUUGCUCACCAACAGGUUCAUGUCUCUCCAGUACUGAGGACUCCACAGUUGCAUGCAGUACUCCUGAUGCAUUAUGCCAUCAUAGAGGGUGGUGCUGAGCUUCCUGUUGAGUUAAACUACAACAAAUAUUUACUGUAUGAAAGCAUCAGCUAACUAUCAGAUUGACCAAGAUUCAGGGGCCUUCACCAUCUAAAAUUAAUUCCUUCUGGAGAACAGGCAAACAUACAAUGAAUAUUUGAACAAAAAAGCAUGUGUUAGUAUAAUUGAACUACUGAUCUAUCACUGUGUGAAUUACACCAGAGAUCUCAAGAAAAAGCAAUGGCUGGGCAUUACUUUCCAACAGCAAAGGAGGAAAAAUAGUGAAAAAGGCUCUGUGGUUAUCAGAAGUUUGGGAUUCUCCUGAGUAGAAAGUCAAAGUCUUGAGGCUUGUAUAAUCUAUUAAAAAAUGGAGAAGAGGUUCUGAACUUGUCUGAUCUGAAGACAUGACAAAAAAUAUAUAUCUACUGGUCUCAUUUAAUAACUAAUUGUCAUAUGCAUUAAAUUCUGUUCAAUCUUCAA